UACGUAGGGGGCUAGCGUUGUCCGGAUUUAUUGGGCGUAAAGAGCGUGUAGGCGGCCCGGUAAGUCCGCUGUAAAAGUCAAAGGCUUAACCUUUGAAUGUCAGUGGAUACUGCCGGGCUAGAGUCCGGAAGAGGCGAGUGGAACUCCUGGUGUAGCGGUGGAAUGCGCAGAUAUCAGGAAGAACACCAACGGCGAAGGCAGCUCGCUAGGACGGUACUGACGCUGAGACGCGAAAGCGUGGGGAGCGAACAGG
This 253-nucleotide ribosomal RNA is filed under the name uncultured bacterium. RNAcentral describes it as "partial 16S ribosomal RNA". It matches the Rfam family "Bacterial small subunit ribosomal RNA", at positions 524 to 776 of the family's 1533-position model. The record is from RNAcentral.